Molecule: ribosomal RNA, 253 nt
Filed under: uncultured bacterium
Lineage: Bacteria
Description: partial 16S ribosomal RNA
Rfam family: Bacterial small subunit ribosomal RNA
Source: RNAcentral
UACGGAGGGUGCGAGCGUUGUCCGGAAUCACUGGGCGUAAAGGGUGCGUAGGCGGCCUGACAAGUCUGAUGUGAAAUCCCUGGGCUCAACCCAGGGCCUGCAUCGGAAACUGUCGGGCUUGAGUAUGGGAGAGGUGAGUGGAAUUUCCGGUGUAGCGGUGAAAUGCGUAGAUAUCGGAAGGAACACCUGUGGCGAAAGCGGCUCACUGGACCAUUACUGACGCUGAGGCACGAAAGCGUGGGGAGCAAACAGG